ACACCAUUCUCUACUUUUUUAUUCAUUUUUUCUAUCUUCUUCCUCACAUGUUUUCUUUAUUGAGUGGAAAUAUUUGAUUUCCAGAUGUAAUUUAAUCAAUCAGAACUAGUUCUGCAAUAAACAGUACAACUACUAAAUUACUUUUGGACUAGUGGAUUUUGAUGAGAAGUCACAAUAAUUUCAAACUUAUUGCGAGGUACUGUAAGUGGCUCUUGUGGCAUCCGGCCUCUGUUGGGCGCCGCAUGACGGCAAUUUCAUACAUGAGGACGUCACUUGGAUUCAUUCCUUUCUUUCACCGCGAGUGAAUAUCCCUGCGGCGCCAGUUAUACUACGCAGCGUAUAGUCCGCCGUAAUUACAUCAAUUAUGAACAAGUCACAACAAGUCGCCGCCAAGUCAAAAACAUG
RNAcentral lists this small RNA (405 nucleotides) under Histoplasma capsulatum. Its description in RNAcentral is "hypothetical RNA". The record is from RNAcentral. Lineage: Eukaryota; Fungi; Ascomycota; Eurotiomycetes; Onygenales; Ajellomycetaceae. RNAcentral also lists the same sequence under 1 other name.